This 465-nucleotide ribosomal RNA is filed under the name Vreelandella stevensii. RNAcentral's name for it is "partial 16S ribosomal RNA". It matches the Rfam family "Bacterial small subunit ribosomal RNA", at positions 338 to 795 of the family's 1533-position model. The record is from RNAcentral. Lineage: Bacteria; Pseudomonadati; Pseudomonadota; Gammaproteobacteria; Oceanospirillales; Halomonadaceae.
CCUACGGGUGGCUGCAGUGGGGAAUAUUGGACAAUGGGCGAAAGCCUGAUCCAGCCAUGCCGCGUGUGUGAAGAAGGCCUUCGGGUUGUAAAGCACUUUCAGUGGGGAAGAAAGCCUUGGGGCUAAUACCCUCGAGGAAGGACAUCACCCACAGAAGAAGCACCGGCUAACUCCGUGCCAGCAGCCGCGGUAAUACGGAGGGUGCGAGCGUUAAUCGGAAUUACUGGGCGUAAAGCGCGCGUAGGCGGUCUGAUAAGCCGGUUGUGAAAGCCCCGGGCUCAACCUGGGAACGGCAUCCGGACCUGUCAGGCUAGAGUGCAGGAGAGGAAGGUAGAAUUCCCGGUGUAGCGGUGAAAUGCGUAGAGAUCGGGAGGAAUACCAGUGGCGAAGGCGGCCUUCUGGACUGACACUGACGCUGAGGUGCGAAAGCGUGGGUAGCAAACAGGAUUAGAUACCCCUGUAGUC